This 40-nucleotide ribosomal RNA is filed under the name Pyrofomes demidoffii. RNAcentral describes it as "partial 28S ribosomal RNA". Lineage: Eukaryota; Fungi; Basidiomycota; Agaricomycetes; Polyporales; Polyporaceae. The record is from RNAcentral.
UUCUGACCUCAAAUCAGGUGGGACUACCCGCUGAACUUAA